GUGCUCGUGUCAGCAGCACAUGUACUAAAAUUGGAACAAUACAGAGAAGAGUAGCAUGGUCCCUGUGCAAGGAUGACACGCAAAUUCAUGAAGCAUUCCAUAUUUUU
Molecule: small nuclear RNA, 107 nt
Organism: Balaenoptera musculus (blue whale)
Lineage: Eukaryota; Metazoa; Chordata; Mammalia; Artiodactyla; Balaenopteridae
Source: Ensembl